AGCAGCCGCGGUAAUUCCAGCUCCAAUAGCGUAUAUUAAAGUUGUUGCAGUUAAAAAGCUCGUAGUUGAAUUUCGGGAUUGACACAUCGGUCGUGCCUUAAGGGGUAUGAACUGGUGUAGUCAAUUUCUCACCUUCUGGAGAACCGCGAUGCCCUUAAUUGGGUGUCGCGGGGAACCAGGACCUUUACUUUGAAGAAAUUAGAGUGUUUAAAGCAGGCAUUUUGCUUGAAUACAUUAGCAUGGAAUAAUAAAAUAGGACGGCAUGAUUCUAUUUUGUUGGUUUCUAGGAUCACCGUAAUGAUUAAUAGGGAUAGUUGGGGGCAUUAGUAUUCAAUUGUCAGAGGUGAAAUUCUUGGAUUUAUUGAAGACUAACUACUGCGAAAGCAUUUGCCAAGGAUGUUUUCAUUAAUCAAUGAACGAAAGUUAGGGGAUCGAAGACGAUCAGAUACCGUCGUAGUCUUAACCAUAAACUAUGCCGACUAGGAAUCAGACGAUGUUAAUUUUUUAAUGACUCGUUUGG
RNAcentral lists this unclassified non-coding RNA (520 nucleotides) under uncultured Entrophospora. RNAcentral describes it as "SSU rRNA". It matches the Rfam family "Eukaryotic small subunit ribosomal RNA", at positions 569 to 1083 of the family's 1831-position model. The record is from RNAcentral. Lineage: Eukaryota; Fungi; Glomeromycota; Glomeromycetes; Entrophosporales; Entrophosporaceae.